UACGGAGGGAGCUAGCGUUGUUCGGAAUUACUGGGCGUAAAGCGCACGUAGGCGGCUUUUUAAGUCAGGGGUGAAAUCCCGGGGCUCAACCCCGGAACUGCCCUUGAAACUGGGAGGCUAGAAUCUUGGAGAGGCGAGUGGAAUUCCGAGUGUAGAGGUGAAAUUCGUAGAUAUUCGGAAGAACACCAGUGGCGAAGGCGACUCGCUGGACAAGUAUUGACGCUGAGGUGCGAAAGCGUGGGGAGCAAACAGG
RNAcentral lists this ribosomal RNA (253 nucleotides) under uncultured bacterium. Its description in RNAcentral is "partial 16S ribosomal RNA". It matches the Rfam family "Bacterial small subunit ribosomal RNA", at positions 524 to 776 of the family's 1533-position model. The record is from RNAcentral.